AACGCACAUUGCGCCCUCUGGUAUUCCGGGGGGCAUGCCUGUUCGAGCGUCAUUAUAACCCUCAAGCUUAGCUUGGUAUUGGGUGUCGUCCCCUUAGGGGGAUGCACCUGGAAAUUAGCGGCGGUGCGGCCGGUGAUCAAGCGUAGUAAUUACUCCCGCUUAGAGACACCCGGGUGUGCCAGCCGGACAACCUCCCCAAAUUUUUCAAUGGUUGACCUCGGAUCAGGUAGGGAUACCCGCUGAACUUAA
Molecule: unclassified non-coding RNA, 249 nt
Filed under: uncultured fungus
Lineage: Eukaryota; Fungi
Description: sequence contains ITS2
Rfam family: 5.8S ribosomal RNA (bases 1-52)
Source: RNAcentral